This 1502-nucleotide ribosomal RNA is filed under the name Legionella pneumophila. RNAcentral's name for it is "partial 23S ribosomal RNA". It matches the Rfam family "Bacterial large subunit ribosomal RNA", at positions 1431 to 2925 of the family's 2925-position model. Lineage: Bacteria; Pseudomonadati; Pseudomonadota; Gammaproteobacteria; Legionellales; Legionellaceae. The record is from RNAcentral.
UAAUAUUCCUGGACUUUUUAUAAGUGGUGAAGUGGGGACGAAGAAGGCUAGGUGAGCCAGGCGUUGGUUGUCCUGGUACUUGCAUGUAGGGGGGAAGACUUGGCAAAUCCGGUUUUCCAUAACUCUGAGGUGCGAAGUGGUUCUGACCUUUUGGUACAGAGAAGUCAUUGAUGCCCGGCUUCCAGGAAAAGCUGCUAGCCAUAACUUAUAGAGAACCGUACCGCAAACCGACACAGGUGGACAGGUAGAGAAUACUAAGGCGCUUGAGAGAACUCGGGUGAAGGAACUAGGCAAAAUGGUACCGUAACUUCGGGAGAAGGUACGCCCUUUUGGGUGAGGGCAUUUACUGUCUGAGCUUAAGAGGGCCGCAGAGACCAGGUGGCUGCGACUGUUUAUUAAAAACACAGCACUCUGCAAAUUCGUAAGAAGACGUAUAGGGUGUGACGCCUGCCCGGUGCCGGAAGGUUAAUUGAUGGGGUUAUCUUCGGAGAAGCUCUUGAUCGAAGCCCCGGUAAACGGCGGCCGUAACUAUAACGGUCCUAAGGUAGCGAAAUUCCUUGUCGGGUAAGUUCCGACCUGCACGAAUGGCGUAACGAUGGCCACACUGUCUCCACCCGAGACUCAGUGAAAUUGAAAUCGCUGUGAAGAUGCAGUGUACCCGCGGCUAGACGGAAAGACCCCGUGAACCUUUACUAUAGUUUUGCACUGGACUUUGAUGAUGACUGUGUAGGAUAGGUGGGAGGCUGUGAAGUGAGGACGCUAGUUCUCAUGGAGCCGCCCUUGAAAUACCACCCUGUUGUUAUUGAGGUUCUAACUUGGUCCAGUAAUCCUGGAUGAGGACAGUGUAUGAUGGGUAGUUUGACUGGGGCGGUCUCCUCCCAAAGAGUAACGGAGGAGCACAAAGGUACCCUCGGUACGGUCGGACAUCGUACCAAGAGUGUAAAGGCAAAAGGGUGCUUGACUGCGAGAGUGACGGCUCGAGCAGGAACGAAAGUUGGUCUUAGUGAUCCGGUGGUUCUGAAUGGAAGGGCCAUCGCUCAACGGAUAAAAGGUACUCCGGGGAUAACAGGCUGAUACCGCCCAAGAGUUCAUAUCGACGGCGGUGUUUGGCACCUCGAUGUCGGCUCAUCACAUCCUGGGGCUGAAGCAGGUCCCAAGGGUAUGGCUGUUCGCCAUUUAAAGUGGUACGCGAGCUGGGUUUAGAACGUCGUGAGACAGUUCGGUCCCUAUCUGCCGUGGGCGUAGGAAAAUUGAGAGGAGCUGCUCCUAGUACGAGAGGACCGGAGUGGACGAACCUCUGGUGCACCGGUUGUCACGCCAGUGGCAUGGCCGGGUAGCUAAGUUCGGACGGGAUAACCGCUGAAAGCAUCUAAGCGGGAAGCCUCCCUCAAGAUGAGUUUUCCCAUGAAGCCCGUUGAAGACUACGACGUUGAUAGGCAAGGUGUGGAAGCGCAGUAAUGCGUGAAGCUAACUUGUACUAAUUGGCUGAUUGUCUUGACCAU